AGAAUCAACGCUGGCGGCGUGCCUAACACAUGCAAGUCGAACGCGAAAGGGACUUCGGUCCUGAGUAGAGUGGCGAACGGGUGAGUAACGCGUGGGUGACCUACCCUCGAGUGGGGGAUAACGUUCCGAAAGGGACGCUAAUACCGCAUGACAUUCCGGGUUUGAAGACCUGGAAAUCAAAGCCGGGGACCGCAAGGCCUGGCGCUAGAGGAGGGGCCCGCGUCUGAUUAGCUAGUUGGCGGGUAACGCCCACCAAGGCGACGAUCA
Molecule: ribosomal RNA, 267 nt
Filed under: uncultured soil bacterium
Lineage: Bacteria
Description: partial 16S ribosomal RNA
Rfam family: Bacterial small subunit ribosomal RNA
Source: RNAcentral